RNAcentral lists this transfer RNA (76 nucleotides) under Psychrobacter immobilis. RNAcentral's name for it is "tRNA-Arg". It matches the Rfam family "tRNA". Rfam says of the family: Transfer RNA (tRNA) molecules are approximately 80 nucleotides in length. Their secondary structure includes four short double-helical elements and three loops (D, anti-codon, and T loops). Lineage: Bacteria; Pseudomonadati; Pseudomonadota; Gammaproteobacteria; Moraxellales; Moraxellaceae. RNAcentral also lists the same sequence under 3 other names. The record is from RNAcentral.
GCGCCUAUAGCUCAACAGGAUAGAGCAGUUGCCUCCUAAGCGAUCGAUCGGGGUUCGAGUCCCUGUAGGCGCACCA